GUGCAGCAGCCGCGGUAAUACCGGCAGCCCGAGUGAUGGCCGAUAUUAUUGGGCCUAAAGCGUCCGUAGCUGGCCGAACAAGUCCGUCGGGAAAUCCACGUGCUUAACGCGUGGGCGACCGGCGGAAACUGUCCGGCUUGGGGCCGGAGGACCCGAGGGGUACGUCCGGGGUAGGAGUGAAAUCCCGUAAUCCUGGACGGACCGCCGGUGGCGAAAGCGCCUCGGGAAGACGGACCCGACAGUGAGGGACGAAAGCUGGGAUCUCGAACCGGAUUAGAAACCCCAGUAGUCC
This 292-nucleotide ribosomal RNA is filed under the name uncultured bacterium. Its description in RNAcentral is "partial 16S ribosomal RNA". It matches the Rfam family "Archaeal small subunit ribosomal RNA", at positions 455 to 747 of the family's 1478-position model. The record is from RNAcentral.